GUAGGGAAUAUUGGGCAAUGGGCGAAAGCCUGACCCAGCAACGCCGCGUGCACGAUGAAGGUCUUCGGAUCGUAAAGUGCUUUUCUGAGAGAUGAGAAAGGACAGUAUCUCAGGAAUAAGUCUCGGCUAACUACGUGCCAGCAGCCGCGGUAACACGUAGGAGGCAAGCGUUAUCCGGAUUUACUGGGCGUAAAGCGCGUGCAGGUGGUUCGGUAAGUUGGAUGUGAAAGCUCCUGGCUCAACUGGGAGAGGUCGUUCAAUACUACUGGACUUGAGAGCAGUAGAGGGAGGUGGAAUUCCCGGUGUAGUGGUGAAAUGCGUAGAUAUCGGGAGGAACACCAGUGGCGAAAGCGGCCUCCUGGACUGUUUCUGACACUCAGACGCGAAAGCUAAGGUAGCAAACGGGAUUAGAAACCCGGGUAGUCC
Molecule: ribosomal RNA, 426 nt
Filed under: uncultured bacterium
Lineage: Bacteria
Description: bacterial SSU rRNA
Rfam family: Bacterial small subunit ribosomal RNA
Source: RNAcentral